This 7794-nucleotide long non-coding RNA is filed under the name Prunus persica (peach). Its description in RNAcentral is "long non-coding RNA (PPER_LNC007376)". Lineage: Eukaryota; Viridiplantae; Streptophyta; Magnoliopsida; Rosales; Rosaceae. The record is from RNAcentral.
AAGGAUCGGCCUGAAAUUCGCGUUUUCCGGCGACGAGGCGGCGACGGGCGACUGGAGAUGGGUCGGGGAACGUCGGCGAGGUCUGGCCGGUUGUUUCGGGUCCGGUCUCGCGGCUGGCCGUGGUCUGUGGCGGUGGCUCCGUGUCUGCAAAUCGGAGAAGGAGGAAGAGGGACGCGGGAGAGAGAGAGAGAGAAUCGGGAGGAAGAGAGAGAAAGUGAGGUAAAACUGGAAAAAAAAUCUGAUUUUUACCCUAACCUUUUUUGAAAUAUUUACAAGUUUGCCACCGACACUAUUUUGCCCGUAGCUUUUUCGUUACAACCCCGAUUCAAGCCUACUGCAUGUCUACGAAAUCAUCUCGGUACCAACUACCCAAAAAUACCACUCGUGGUCCAAAAAUCCUUCCGAAGAAGAAAGUGACCAUUUUACCCCUAACUCAAGGGUAGUUUCGUAAUUUUAUUUAAAUCGUUUAAAAUAAAUAUUUAAAUUGGAGUCGGGGUGUUACAAUCUACCCUCCUUAAAGAAAAUUUCGUCCCCGAAAUUCACGUACCCGUCAAUGGAAAAGAUAAGGGUACUUGACCCUCAUUUGUGCCUCGGGCUCCCAUGUAGCUUUUUCCACAGUUUGGCUUCUCCACAGAACCUUCACUACUGGAAUGGAUCUAGAGCGCAACUGUUGUUCUUUCCUAUCUAGAAUUUGUACAGGUUGCUCCUCAAAUGACAAAUCUUCUUCCAACUCCACAGGUGGAUAUUCUAAAACAUGGGAAGGGUCUGGCAUAUACUUCCGAAGCAUAGAUACAUGGAACACAUCAUGCACUCGAGACAGUUCUGCAGGUAAUGCAAGUCUAUAUGCAACCGGUCCGAUGCGUUCAGUAAUCUCAUAGGGUCCAAUAUAACGAGGGCUUAACUUCCCACGUUUGCCAAAUCUCAUUACACCCUUCCAAGGAGAUAGCUUCAGAAACACCCAAUCCCCAACUGCAAAUUCGAGAUCUUUGGACCUAUUAUCUGCAUAACUCUUCUGUCGGUCUUGUGCGAUCUUCAGCUUCUCUUUAAUCAUCUUCACUUUUUCGGUUGUUGCUCGGAUACUUUCCACUUUUUCUAAUUUCUUAUCUCCCACUUCGUUCCAACAAAUAGGAGUCCUACACUGUCUCCCGUACAACGCCUCAUAAGGAGCCAUUUUUAUACUCGCAUGAUAACUGUUAUUGUAUGCAAAUUCCACCAAGGCAAGGUGAGUAUCCCAUGAAUCUUUCAUCUGCAGUACACACGACCUCAACAUAUCCUCCAAAGUCUGAAUAGUUCUUUCUGAUUGUCCAUCAGUCUGUGGGUGAAAAGCUGUGCUGAACCGCAACCUAGUACCCAUAGCUUCCUGUAAACACUUCCAGAAUCGAGAAGUAAAUCGGGCAUCUCUGUCCGAUACAAUGGACACAGGUGCUCCAUGUAACCUCACAAUCUCGUCCACAAAAAGUUUUGCCAACUUUGUCAGAGAAUAAGUUUCCUUAACAGGUAGGAAAUGGGCGGACUUGGUGAGUCUAUCCACUAUCACCCAAAUUCCAUCAUGUCCCUUGGGAGUACGUGGAAGCUUGAAAACGAAAUCCAUGGUAAUGUGCUCCCACUUCCAUUCAGGAAUUGGAAGCGGUUGCAUAAGUCCGGAAGGUUUCUGUCGCUCUGCUUUCACUUGUUGACAAAUCAAGCAUCUACUCACAUACUUGGCAAUGUCUCCCUUCAUAUGCGGCCAUGAGUAAUACUCCCGUAGGGUUCGAUACAUCUUGGUGCUUCCUGGAUGCAUAGUGUAAGUGGAACAGUGAGCUUCCUCCAGGAUUUCUCUUUUCAGGUAAUCAUUCUUAGGUACACAGAGGCGAGUUCCUGCUACUAACGCCCCAUCUCCCCUUAUUGCAUAAUCUUUCCGCGAACCACUUUCUACUUCUCCCCUUAUUCUACAAAGUGUUGUGUCUCCCAACUGAGCUUCAAUUAUCCGCUCCACCAAAAUGGGUCUCACAUGCAAACUAGCAAGUAUUCCACCCUGUUGGGUCAUUUCUAAUCCCACUCCAUCUUUCCGCAGUUCCACUAACAACGGAAGAUACGCCGUUCUGAGAUGAGCCAAACUUCCCGUAGUCUUCCUACUCAGUGCAUCUGCUACCACAUUAGCUCGGCCUGGAUGAUACUCAAUCGUGCAGUCAUAAUCCUUUAUCAAUUCCAACCAACGCCGUUGUCUCAUAUUAAGCUCAUUUUGAGUGAAGAAGUACUUAAGGCUUUUAUGAUCAGUGAAAAUCUGACACGUCUCACCAUACAAAUAAUGCCGCCAAAUCUUGAGAGCGAACACUACAGCGGCAAGUUCCAGAUCAUGAACUGGAUAAUUCUGCUCAUGCUUCUUGAGUUGCCUCGAGGCAUAAGCAAUCACCCGAUCAUGUUGCAUCAGAACACAUCCCAAGCCUCGCAAAGAUGCAUCACUGUAGAUCACAAAAUUUCCUGCAUUAUCUGGAAAAGCCAAAACAGGUGCAGUGGUUAAUCGCUUCUUUAAUUCCUUAAAACUUUGUUCACAUUCUUCCGUCCACUCAUAUGCAACAUCUUUCCUUGUCAAUCGUGUGAGAGGUGCUGCUAUCGAAGAAAACCCUUCCACAAAUCGACGAUAGUAGCCUGCCAAUCCCAGAAAACUCCGUAUUUCUGUCACACUGGUGGGUUGUACCCAGUUCACAAUAGCUUCAACUUUCUGUGGAUCCACAUAAAUCCCUUCAGCUGAAAUUACAUGUCCCAAAAAUACCACUCUGUCCAGCCAGAACUGACACUUACUAAAUUUAGCAUAAAGCUGCUUCCUUCUCAAGGUUCUCAAUACCAACCUCAGAUGUUUCUUAUGCCCUUCCAGAGUCUGAGAAUACACCAAGAUAUCAUCUAUGAACACAAUCACAAAGUGAUCCAAGUAUGGUCGGAACACCCUGUUCAUGAGAUCCAUAAACGCUGCUGGAGCAUUUGUCAGCCCAAACGGCAUCACCAGAAAUUCAUAAUGUCCAUACCGUGUCCUGAACGCGGUCUUAGGAAUAUCCUCUUCCCUGAUCCUCAACUGGUGGUAUCCCGAUCUCAGAUCGAUCUUAGAAAAAUACUUAGCACCCUUCAACUGAUCAAACAGAUCAUCAAUCCGAGGCAACGGAUACCGGUUACGUAUCGUCACCUUAUUCAUCUGCCGGUAAUCAAUGCAUAACCUCAUGGUUCCAUCUUUCUUCCUCACAAACAACACAGGUGCACCCCACGGUGAAACACUGGGUCUGAUGAACCCAAGAUCUACUAACUCCUGUAAUUGAAUCUUCAACUCCCGAAGUUCAGCUGGUGCCAUCCUAUAGGGGGUUAGAUAAAUAGGGUUGGUGCCCGGAAGAAGUUCAAUAGUGAACUCGAUUUCCCUUUCAGGGGGUAAACCAGGGAGAUCAUCUGGAAAGACAUCAGGAAAAUCACAAACAACAGGGAUAUCUUCCAGAUUUAGAGUGAUCUCUCGAGUAUCAAUGAUAUGAGCCAAAUACCCCUCACAUCCCUUCUGGAGCAACUUCUUGGCUGUAAUAGCAGAAAUCAGACAAGUAGGGAGAACUCUACGCUCCCCACGGAAGGUAACUCUAGGUUGCCCUGGACUUCGAAAUGUUACUUCCUUCCGAUAACAAUCCACUGAAGCAUGAUGUUUCUCCAGCCAAUCCAUCCCCAAAAUAAUAUCCAAAUCCACCAAAUCUAAAGGGAUUAAAUUUGCUUCCAACCAUGCAUCAUCUACUUGGACAAAACAAUUUCUGAAUACCCGAUCUGCGUAUAAGACUUCUCCCGUAGGUAGGGAAAUACUAAAGCUCCCUGUCAUAGGUGUGGGUCUAAUACUGACAUACGGUAUGAAAUUGUGUGCUACAAAGGAGUGUGUGGCCCCCGGGUCAAUUAAAACACGUGCAAGAUAACCAAAAAUCGGAAUCAUACCAGUAAUCACAUCCGGGGUAGCAUAGGCUUCCUGCUGAGACAUGGAGAACACACGAGCCUGAGUAGUGGAGCGCCCAGGUUGACCCCUUGAUAGCCUACCACCUCUGCCUCUAGAAGAUGCCGAUGCCCUACUACUGGAUGACCCUGCUGCAGAUGAAGAAACACCACCCUGAUUCUGAUUCUGACCCAAAAUACCUUGCCCCAGCUGGGCCCCAGUUCCCUGAUUCCCUGCAUCAUUCUGGAGUAUAAUUGGGCAGUUUCUCUUAGUAUGCCCCACUUGCCCACAAAAGUAGCAUGUCAGGCUACUACUCUGGCUCGAUCCACCUCCCUGAGUGUAACUGGGACAAUCCUUUGCAAUAUGCCCGACUUGCCCACAAUGAAAACAUGUCAACCCAGUGUACCUAGAAGGAGCCCUGGCGGUGCUAGCUACAGACUGUGGUCCCGAAUACUGAGUCCAAGCUGAACGAGAACCGGAUCUCCCACUGCUAGAACUAGAUCCCCGUCCUCCUGACCAUCCUCCACUAGCCGAACUGGAACUAGAUCCUCCCCUCUUUGAUGGACCCUGACUGGGCCCACCAAUUCCUGGUGCAUCCCUACGGCGCCUACCAACAUUCCCACCAAGUUUCCUUGCCACCCUUGCCGCUGCCUGAGCCAAAGCCCUCAUAUUUGGAUAAGUACUAGCGGUAACAACUGCCUGAAUUUCCCACCAUAAACCUUCCUCAAAGCGUCUACAUCUGUCUUCCUCGGUAGCCACUAACUCAGGAGCAAAUCUGGACAGCUCAUUAAAUUUGUGUUCAUAUUCCACUACUGUCAUAGACCCCUGUUUCAAGUAGAGAAACUCUGAUUUCUUUGCCUGUUUAUAAGAAGGUGGGUAAAACUGAUCUGAAAAUACUCGCUGAAAUUCUUCCCAAUUUAUGGUAGCCGGAUUUUCAUAACCCCUUUUUACUGCUUUCCACCAAUGAUACGCAUUUCCCUUGAGUAGAAAGGUGGCCAAACGGACUCUAUCCUCAGCUGGGCAUUCCAGGACAUCAAAGAUUCUCUCCACAUCAGUAAUCCAUAAUUCUGCUUCUGCCGGAUCUGUACUACCCAGGAAUUCUUUAGCUCCAAGUUCCUUAACUCUCUUAAUUUCUGAACUUUCCGUACCACGCCUUCCCCCUAAGGCUGUAGCCAUUGUACGAGUAAACUGACUGAGCACAUGCCUCAAAUCCAAAGCAUUAUCUCCAGCAGGUGGAGGUGGUGAAGGUGAAGGUGAAGGUAGUGGUGGUGAAGGAGGGGGUGAUGGAGAUGGAGGUGGAGGAUUCGGCCCCCAUCUCUGCCCACGGCCUCUAAUUCUAGCUCUGCGAGCUGACAUGAUUCUACACAAAGAAAUCAUGAAAUCAUUAGAUCAACAAUGCAGCAAAAGUGCAAUAGUCGAAGGAAAAUGAACCUAAUGCUCUGAUACCAAGCUGACAGGACCCGCCCCGGAAUUUCCCGAAGACCGAGGCAGACCCCGUCUUGAUCCCGACAUCCUCCCGAUGCCGGGCCCACCUACUUAAUAAUCGAGACUUUCUACCAAAAAUUUGGCAGAGUCUCCCCUGCAAUUUAAGCAAUCCCAACAAAAUUUAUUCAACCUGCAACACACAGUAAUACUAAUCCCAACCAGCAGCAUGCUUUCAUACACACACAAGUCAUACUAGAGUGGCCUCCGGCCUCACAAGUAAAAUCUACCAUGGCAUACAGAGCAUCUACUGAAUUUAGAUUACAAGAACAGUUGAGUAUAAGAAUUUACACAGUUCUUAAUUAUAAAGAUGCACUGACUCCGCUGCAGACACCACUUGUACUUCCAGGAGCAACUACUGGCUGGGGGGCGCAAAACAGAAAACAUGUGAGUGGACAAAAACCAGGUUUGCAGUUAAAACAACAUAGUAACCCCACCAUGUAAAAAUAAUGCACAAGUCAUGCAGUUUCACAAUCCAAUAAUUAAUAUACUCAAAACAUGGUUCAUUAAAACUCUUCUAAAACAUCAGUCAACUCUUUCCAAAAAGAACCCCAUUCCCUCAAACUCACCUCUCCUGUCAACUAAUAAACAAUCUCCAAUUCCUUUCACACUCAACUAUACAUAUUCAAUAAUUAUACAUAUAAAUACAUAAAUAUAAAUAACUAUAAUUAGCUAUACGAUAUACUUAUCACACCACCUAGGUACCGGGGAAAACAAUCCAACUGGGGGAUCGUUUGACUAGUCCGCAGGAUUUCCAGGUGCUAUCCUGCGUCUAGGGAUGAGCGGUCCAACCGGGGGACGAAACUCCAAAGCUCCCACACUGGAACAUCCAACGCCAUGUGUAGCUCUCAAACUAUGUCCUACGCGCGCAGACUGGAUCAUCACACACCGGAACAUCCAACGCCAUGGUGAUGACCCUAAACUCUAUACACAGUCUUUCCGUACGCCGGAACAUCCAACGCCGCAUACGGAAAGUGUCUCACCCGCCGGAACAUCCAACGCCACGAGUGAGACUAGUAACCGGGGAAGGUACUUACGUAGUGUAAUCCCACAACUCCUCUCUAAUCACAUUCUUCCAUAUCACUCUCCAACAGCCCAAAUAUCUCAUCUAAAAAGAAUAUAUAUCAAAAUAUACCUCCCCACAAUCCAUAUAUGAAAUACACUCUCAAAACCCAAAAGGCCAACUCAUAAUAUAUUGCCAAUUGCUAUACACCCAUUGAAAUUAAUUCAUGCAUAUAAUACAUAAAAAUCCAGAAGCCAUUAAAACAUCAUGUAAAACAUUUCAUCAAUUAAAACCAUGCAUAUGAUUAAAACAAAGUCCACUCACAAGUAUUCCCUCGCUGCCUGACCACGUGAAGGUCCUGCUUGCUGCGUGCGUGCAGUCGAAAUACCUAUUUCGAAAUACGAACCGUUAAUUAAUAUAAAAACCACGUCUAAGCGGAAAUUACAAAUUAAGUGCUUAACUCCCCAAAUUCCCAUACGUGCACGUCGAAGAUUGUACCCUAAGGUCCGAUUACAGGUUUAGGAAGCGUUCACGAUUUUACGGUUAUCGCUAACCCGCAAACUUUGCAUUUUUGAAUCGGAACAUCCGGGGCUCCGAUUCAGAAUUCGUGAAGUCCCAUACGGUCCUAGGAAUACCUAGAACAACAUAUUUUAAAUUGGAAAAGAUCUAACGGUUGGAACCUAUCGAACCCGGAUAACGUAUAAUAUGCGAAAAUCCGUUCGAUAGCCAAACGACAUCCGAAUCGAGAUCCGCGAAUUCCUAUGCGCUCGUGACAACCUAAGGAUCUCAUCGGGUCAAUUUACAUCCUCACCAAACUCGCCCACGCGCCGCCACACGCGCCGGCAGCGCGUGGGUGUGCAGAGUAAUUCCGGUGACGGAAAAACUCCACACCCGAGCUCACCCUUCCUACCCUAGCUUCUACUCGAUGUCAGGAUCACUUCAUUCAACUACGAGAAGCUCCAAUUCGGCCGGCAACUGGCCGGAAUUUCAUUUUGAAAUUCGGCCCAAAACCUAGAUUCCUAAUCGGUUUUCUAGACUCAAAAUCAAUGAAAACCUAUACCAUCAACAGCUAGAACUCGAAAAUUGGAUGAGAAACCAUACCUCACCCGUCUGAAAUAGUGCUCGGAGGAGAGAGAACGAUCGACUGGAAGCUCAGACAAGGAUCGGCCUGAAAUUCGCGUUUUCCGGCGACGAGGCGGCGGCGGGCGACUGGAGAUGGGUCGGGGAACGUCGGCGAGGUCUGGCCGGUUGUUUCGGGUCCGGUCUCGCGGCUGGCCGUGGUCUGUGGCGGUGGCUCCGUGUCUGCAAAUCGGAGAAGGAGGAAGAGGGACGCGGGAGAGAGAGAGAGAGAAUCGGGAGGAAGAGAGAGAAAGUGAGGUAAAAC